GGAAGUAAAAGUGUAACAAGGUUUCCGUAGGUGAACCUGCGGAAGGAUCAUUAAUGAGUUGUCAUGGGGUUCGAUGCUGGCAGCCAAUUUUUGGAUGCAUGUGCUUGCCCUAACAAUCAUCUUCCAAACACCUGUGCACAUUUUUGAGGGAGUCUUGAGUUGGUUGCCGCUCUUGGGUGAUUUUCUCACAUUCCCUUAAAUCAUUAUACGCUAUUAACAAUGUUGAACGUGCUCUGUGCCGCAAGGCUAUUAAUAUAAUACAACUUUUAACAACGGAUCUCUUGGCUCUC
This 290-nucleotide unclassified non-coding RNA is filed under the name plant metagenome. RNAcentral describes it as "partial contains small subunit ribosomal RNA, internal transcribed spacer 1, and 5.8S ribosomal RNA". The stretch from base 1 to 53 matches the Rfam family "Eukaryotic small subunit ribosomal RNA", at positions 1778 to 1831 of the family's 1831-position model. The record is from RNAcentral.